Molecule: ribosomal RNA, 488 nt
Filed under: uncultured bacterium
Lineage: Bacteria
Description: bacterial SSU rRNA
Rfam family: Bacterial small subunit ribosomal RNA
Source: RNAcentral
GAUGUACGCUAGCGGCAGGCUUAACACAUGCAAGUCGAGGGGUAUAGUUCUUCGGAAUUAGAGACCGGCGCACGGGUGCGUAACGCGUAUGCAAUCUACCUUUCACAGAGGGAUAGCCCCAGAGAAAUUUGGAUUAAUACCUCAUAGUAUAGCAGUUUCGCAUGAAACCACUAUUAAAGUCACAACGGUGAAAGAUGAGCAUGCGUCCCAUUAGCUAGUUGGUAAGGUAACGGCUUACCAAGGCAACGAUGGGUAGGGGGUCCUGAGAGGGAGAUCCCCCACACUGGUACUGAGACACGGACCAGACUCCUACGGGAGGCAGCAGUGAGGAAUAUUGGACAAUGGGCGGCAAGCCUGAUCCAGCCAUGCCGCGUGCAGGAUGACGGUCCUAUGGAUUGUAAACUGCUUUAUACAGGAAGAAACACUACUUCGUGAAGUAGCUUGACGGUACUGUAAGAAUAAGGAUCGGCUAACUCCGUGCCAGCACG